Molecule: non-coding RNA, 217 nt
Organism: Pelobates cultripes (western spadefoot toad)
Lineage: Eukaryota; Metazoa; Chordata; Amphibia; Anura; Pelobatidae
Source: the annotation of a GenBank genome assembly
GCAUGAUAUGUUUUGACACUGAAAAUAUUGGCAUUCUGCGUUAGCCCUACAGGUUUGUCAAUAGCGUUUCAGUUCGCCUAGAGUAGGUGCAGUCUCUGAGAUUUAUUACUGGAGCUGAGUGUUUGUGUGUAUGAGUAAGUAAAGAUACAGUUUCACAUGGCCUGAUGCUUGAUAGAGUGCUUCGUAGGAUUAGGGACGGACGGACAUAUAUUUCCAG